Molecule: small nucleolar RNA, 132 nt
Organism: Phyllostomus discolor (pale spear-nosed bat)
Lineage: Eukaryota; Metazoa; Chordata; Mammalia; Chiroptera; Phyllostomidae
Product: small nucleolar RNA SNORA42/SNORA80 family
Exons: 1
Source: RefSeq, a predicted model, not a curated record
GCAUGGACUUGGAUUUAUGGCAGGCUCCUCCCCCUGGGUCUCUCACAGUGCCCCAUGCCAGAGCACCCUGGCCCGGAACCACUGCCUGGUCUCUGCCUGUGGGCUGCAGGCACUGAAGCGGGCCACACAGUG